CCUACGGGAGGCAGCAGUGGGGAAUUUUGCGCAAUGGGGGCAACCCUGACGCAGCAACGCCGCGUGAGUGAUGAAGGCCUUCGGGUCGUAAAGCUCUGUCAGAGGGGAAGAAAUGCAGGUGGUGAACAACCAUUCUGUUUGACGGUACCCUCAAAGGAAGCACCGGCUAACUCCGUGCCAGCAGCCGCGGUAAUACGGAGGGUGCGAGCGUUGUUCGGAAUUAUUGGGCGUAAAGCGCGUGUAGGCGGUUUGUUAAGUCUGAGGUAAAAGCCCCGGGCUCAACCGGGGAAGUGCAUUGGAUACUGGCAGACUUGAGGACGGGAGAGGAGAGUGAAAUUCCCAGUGUAGGAGUGAAAUCCGUAGAUAUUGGGAGGAACACCGGUGGCGAAGGCGGCUCUCUGGACGGUAACUGACGCUGAGGGACGAAAGCCAGGGGAGCAAACGGGAUUAGAUACCCUGGUAGU
RNAcentral lists this ribosomal RNA (464 nucleotides) under uncultured Geobacteraceae bacterium. RNAcentral describes it as "partial 16S ribosomal RNA". It matches the Rfam family "Bacterial small subunit ribosomal RNA", at positions 338 to 794 of the family's 1533-position model. The record is from RNAcentral. Lineage: Bacteria; Pseudomonadati; Thermodesulfobacteriota; Desulfuromonadia; Geobacterales; Geobacteraceae.